Molecule: unclassified non-coding RNA, 499 nt
Filed under: Hevea brasiliensis (rubber tree)
Lineage: Eukaryota; Viridiplantae; Streptophyta; Magnoliopsida; Malpighiales; Euphorbiaceae
Source: RNAcentral
GGAUGAAAUUUGACCAGUGAAACUAUUAUCGGAUACGUCAAAUUCAAAAAACUGGCCAAACUGAGGUGAAAGGUGAGAAUUGUUGAAAUCAUUGUAGGAGAGGUCGAGGCUUUGGAGAUGAAGAAGGAAGAAAAGAGGAUUGUUAGAAUAGAUGGUACCAAAAAGCAAGCUAUUAGAAAGGUGAAGGCCAAUUACAUUACCAGUUUCAAAGUCACAGGUGAUCCCAUCCCACGAGCAGCAAUCUGUGCCCUCUUUCCAAGAUUCUGUCUUGGGAUAAGGCUUGGGGUAAGAGGAAUCCCAUUCACAGGGAGAGGCAUCACUUCUAAUGGAAAAGGUUUUCUUGAAUUGGAGCAAGGCAAGACUCUGGUCAUGUUGGCACAACAUUGCUGAAAAUGAGGAAUUGAAAGAAAAAGAUAGAGAAGAAGAAGCAUGAAAAUACAAGGGAAAUAAAAAGAAGCUGAGAAAGCGAGCAAGCCAAGCCAUUUUCUUUGAAGGAAUU